RNAcentral lists this ribosomal RNA (503 nucleotides) under fungal sp. 6803-S3. RNAcentral's name for it is "eukaryotic LSU rRNA". It matches the Rfam family "Eukaryotic large subunit ribosomal RNA", at positions 89 to 601 of the family's 3401-position model. The record is from RNAcentral. Lineage: Eukaryota; Fungi.
GCGAGUGAAGCGGCAACAGCUCAAAUUUGAAAUCUGGCCCCCAGGGUCCGAGUUGUAAUUUGCAGAGGAUGAUUUUGGCGAGGUGCCUUCCGAGUUCCCUGGAACGGGACGCCACAGAGGGUGAGAGCCCCGUCUGGUUGGACGCCGAGCCUAUGUAAAUCUCCUUCGACGAGUCGAGUAGUUUGGGAAUGCUGCUCUAAAUGGGAGGUAUAUGUCUUCUAAAGCUAAAUAUUGGCCAGAGACCGAUAGCGCACAAGUAGAGUGAUCGAAAGAUGAAAAGCACUUUGAAAAGAGGGUUAAAUAGUACGUGAAAUUGUUGAAAGGGAAGCGCUCAUGACCAGACUUGGGCCCGGUGAAUCAUCCAGCGUUCUCGCUGGUGCACUUUGCCGGGCACAGGCCAGCAUCAGUUUGCCCUGGGGGAUAAAGGCUUUGGGAAUGUGGCUCCUCCGGGAGUGUUAUAGCCCAUUGCAUAAUAUCCUGGGGCGGACUGAGGUUCGCGCAUC